RNAcentral lists this unclassified non-coding RNA (547 nucleotides) under plant metagenome. Its description in RNAcentral is "partial contains small subunit ribosomal RNA, internal transcribed spacer 1, and 5.8S ribosomal RNA". The record is from RNAcentral.
UUUCCGUAGGUGAACCUGCGGAAGGAUCAUUACUGAGUGAGGGCCCCUCGGGGUCUUACCUCCCACCCCUGCUUAACGAACCUUCCUGCUUCGUCGGGCCCGCCUCACGGCCGCCGGCGAGCAAUUUCCCACCGGCCCGCGUCCGCCCUAUCCUGCUUUGAACACUGAAAUACAUCUGCAAUCAAAGACUCUUAUUAAACUAAUUAAAACUUUCAACAAAGGAUAUCUUAGUACCGCCAUCCUUGAAGAACGCAGCAUAACGGAAGAUCACACGUCCUCUUCCACGACAGAAAUUAAAAUCCUAACCAAGGCUCCCGCGGUCGAGCCGUGAAAGUCGUCACUAAUGCUGGGGGGCCCAUCGGGCCCAACGAUCCGACCCGUGUAUAGUUAACCUGGCUUCUUCGGCGGGCCCCCCCCACGGCCGCCAGGGCGCAUGUGCCCCCGGGCAAGGGGCCGACGAAGCAACCUAUGAACGCUGUCUGAAGUAUGCAGUCUGAGACAAUUAAUAAAUUAAUUAAAACUUUCAACAACGGAUCUCUUGGUUCCG